This 253-nucleotide ribosomal RNA is filed under the name uncultured Lachnospiraceae bacterium. Its description in RNAcentral is "partial 16S ribosomal RNA". It matches the Rfam family "Bacterial small subunit ribosomal RNA", at positions 524 to 776 of the family's 1533-position model. Lineage: Bacteria; Bacillati; Bacillota; Clostridia; Lachnospirales; Lachnospiraceae. The record is from RNAcentral.
UACGUAGGGGGCAAGCGUUAUCCGGAUUUACUGGGUGUAAAGGGAGCGUAGACGGCAGCGCAAGUCUGGAGUGAAAGCCCGGGGCUUAACCCCGGAACGGCUUUGGAAACUGGCCGGCUGGAGUGCUGGAGAGGCAGGCGGAAUUCCUGGUGUAGCGGUGAAAUGCGUAGAUAUCAGGAGGAACACCGGUGGCGAAGGCGGCUUCCUGGUCUGCAACUGACACUGAGGCGCGAAAGCGUGGGGAGCAAACAGG